GUAUUUUGGCGCGGUUUCCCGGCUCUGCGGGCCCAGGGCUCCGGAUGAGGUCUCCCGCCGUCCCGACCCCCGCAAGGGGCCAGCUUGGUGUCGCCUUCGUCCUUCUGCCACCCCGUUUGGAAGGUGCUCGGGUCUUCGGGGCACUAGGUCCCAUCGGUCCCUCCUCACCUGGGCUCACCCUCGGGGGUCUGGCCGUGAGCGAGCACCGGCUCAGCAACAAGCUGCUGGCAUGGAGCGGCGUCCUUGAGUGGCAGGAGAAGCGCAGACCCUACUCUGACUCCACUGCAAAGCUGAAGCGGACCCUGCCCUGCCAAGCCUACGUGAACCAAGGCGAGAACCUGGAGACCGACCAGUGGCCGCAGAAGCUGAUCAUGCAGCUGAUCCCGCAGCAGCUGCUGACCACCCUGGGCCCCCUGUUCCGGAACUCCCAGUUGGCACAGUUCCACUUCACCAACAGAGACUGCGACUCGCUCAAGGGGCUCUGCCGCAUCAUGGGCAACGGCUUCGUGAGUGGGGCGGGCUCGGGUGUGUGAGGGGUGCGGGGGGCGGCUCCCUUGUAGCACUGUGGUGACAAGUACAGCUGGAGGCAGCGCUCUGCUCACACAGCCCAGGCUGGGGCCGGGGGUCUCCCCUGGGGUCGAAGGUAGCCCUCGUGGCCUCUCGGACCCCAUCUGGAAAUGACUGACCCCAGGCACCCUCCGUAGAGCACAGGGUGAAGGAACUCAGCCUGAGAGGCCUCCAGUUUCUGCAUCUGUGCCCAGCUUCGAGGUGGCUCUGGGGGAGUGAGUGCACAGAGGGACUGGGGCCAGCCCUGUUGGGGCCCAGGAGCCUGUCGCGGACACAUAGCGUAUGGCAGGGACCUGGUAAAUGGGUGUGCUAGGCACGAGAGCCAGCCAGGAGGGAGUGGCACAUUGGGGCUUGGUAUUCUGGUUUGUAAAAUGUGCUAACCUCCCCGAGUGGCCUGAGCUGGCCAUGAGGGAGCGGAGCUGAGGGUGCUGAAGCAGGCGCGGUGAGUAGGUCCUCAGGCCUGGCUCCAAGGGGACCCAGGUAUCCAGCCGGUGGCUGUGCAGGGACUGAGUGGGGCAGGCACGGCCACGACCU
Molecule: small RNA, 1101 nt
Filed under: Pongo abelii (Sumatran orangutan)
Lineage: Eukaryota; Metazoa; Chordata; Mammalia; Primates; Hominidae
Description: retained intron
Source: RNAcentral